Molecule: ribosomal RNA, 496 nt
Filed under: uncultured bacterium
Lineage: Bacteria
Description: partial 16S ribosomal RNA
Rfam family: Bacterial small subunit ribosomal RNA
Source: RNAcentral
GACGAACGCUGGCGGCGUGCCUAAUACAUGCAAGUUGAGCGAUGAAGAUUGGUGCUUGCACCAAUUUGAAGAGCAGCGAACGGGUGAGUAACGCGUGGGUAAUCUGCCUUUGAGCGGGGGACAACAUUUGGAAACGAAUGCUAAUACCGCAUAACAACUUUAAACAUAAGUUUUAAGUUUGAAAGAUGCAAUUGCAUCACUCAAAGAUUAUCCCGCGUUUUAUUAGCUAGUUGGUGAGGUAAAGGCUCACCAAGGCAACGAUGCAUAGCCGACCUGAGCGGGUGAUCGGCCACACGGGAACUGAGACACGGUCCAGACGCCUACGGGAGGCAGCAGUAGGGAAUCUUCCGCAAUGGGCGAAAGCCUGACGGAGCAACGCCGCGUGAGUGAUGAAGGUCUGCGGAUCGUAAAACUCUGUUAUUAGGGAAGAACAGAUGUGUAAGUAACUGUGCACAUCUUGACGGUACCUAAUCAGAAAGCCACGGCUAACUACGUG